AGGUUCCCUAGGACUAACCUCUAGGGUGGAGCCCUGUGACUCCCAUGUUGGAGAGGCUGGAGUCCAUCUUUAGACUUGGUGAACUUGGCUUCCAAGAAAACGAGAUCAGUGACCAGCUCAUCCAUCCUGUUUAUGGAUCAGCUUAUGGCCCAGAUCACCCUGCUGAAUGAAGUCAUUAUUAAUCGAUGCCAAGAAAUGGAAAACCACUAAUUUUUGAGGAAGAUUUUGAGACGUAAAUGAGGACUUGCAGGUGCACCCAAUCCAUCACCUACGGCACGUGCGCGAUGGGGCUUGUCUCGUUUUGCGGUUCAGCACCAGCCCUGGCAGCUUCGCUCCGGAGACGUUGUGAGCAACGGCACUCAGGUUUGCACCAAAUGCCUCCGGACUGCGAUGUGUGUCUCUCUCCCUUCGCUCCCCUUUUGCUGUGUUUUCAGAUUACGUGGUUGUUCCCCGUCUCUGCUCUUUGUGACGCUUCUGCAGUCAUAACAGAGACGGACUGUAAGUUGCUGGGUUAACUAGGUAACCACACCUGUUACAUUGGUACCCUGUUGGGGCGUGUGAAAUUGAAUUCAUGAGCCCCCUUUUCCAAAACGGUGCAUGAGAACUCCCUGAGCUCAGAGGUGUGUACCCAGUGACGGGCUCUGAGGAUGAAGGUGCGGACGCGGCGUGGGGUGCGCCUGGAUAACUCCGUUAAGCAGGAUCACGAAGAUGGGAAGCGAAAAGCUUGAGGAUCCUCCAGGCAUCUUGGUGCCUUGCAGUCAACAGGGGCUGCGCCCACCUUCCAGCACCUUCUGGCACGUUCCGGCACCCUCUGCACGGGGUGCCACUUCCCGGGUUGUAGGGGGCAUAAGUGUGUGGAUCCUAAGGAACAAGUGUUCUGGGCAUUUGGGGGAGGUUUCAACCACCCAAGUGUUAAUUGAAGAAACUAGUUAAUUGAAGAAACUGGGAUGGAGAAGCUGUUUCACUCACUCACCUCCCUUUAUUCCCUCUUAAUCUCUGCCUUCAGGAUUUCCCCUUUUUAUGUUAUCUGCCGUUCACAAAUGUUCCUUUAUGGAUGAAAACCUGAAGGCAUGCCAUCAAUCCUUGAACACUGAGAGCACUCAGAAGGGGCUUUUCUGGGAAACAGAAUGACCCUGCUUUAGGUGAUUAAGAGAGGAGGGAGCUGGGAGGAGGCCUGGCGACGGGCGGUCAGUGUUACAGCCCCCCCUAUGGAAUGGCUUGCUUCGGAAGUGCUCCCUGCCAAGAUCAGGAUAGGGCGGCGGGCCAGCACCCCACUUUUCAGACAAGGAAUGUGAGAUGGAGAUUCGGGCUUUUCCAUCUAACGUUUAUCUUCCUGUCUCCCUUCCCUGGCCUGUCCUGGGCCCCUAGAC
This is a long non-coding RNA of Felis catus (domestic cat), 1370 nucleotides long. RefSeq lists it as uncharacterized. NCBI's taxonomy places the organism in Eukaryota, Metazoa, Chordata, Mammalia, Carnivora, Felidae. The record is from RefSeq and is a predicted model, not a curated record. The transcript is spliced from 3 exons.